AAGAUUAAACUGAAGAGUUUGAUCCUGGCUCAGAUUGAACGCUGGCGGCAUGCCUUACACAUGCAAGUCGAACGGAAACGAUGGAAGCUUGCUUCCAGGCGUCGAGUGGCGGACGGGUGAGUAACGCGUAGGAAUCUGCCCGAUAGUUGGGGAUAGCCCGGAGAAAUCCGGAUUAAUACCGAAUGUGGUCUACGGACUAAAGGAGGCCUCUCCUUGGAAGCUUUCGCUAUCGGAUGAGCCUGCGUUGGAUUAGCUUGUUGGUGGGGUAAUGGCCUACCAAGGCGACGAUCCAUAGCUGGUCUGAGAGGACGAUCAGCCACACUGGGACUGAGACACGGCCCAGACUCCUACGGGAGGCAGCAGUGGGGAAUAUUGGACAAUGGGCGCAAGC
This 391-nucleotide ribosomal RNA is filed under the name Gammaproteobacteria bacterium. Its description in RNAcentral is "bacterial SSU rRNA". It matches the Rfam family "Bacterial small subunit ribosomal RNA", at positions 1 to 382 of the family's 1533-position model. Lineage: Bacteria; Pseudomonadati; Pseudomonadota; Gammaproteobacteria. The record is from RNAcentral.